GGAGGUAUAGCCCAGGGGUAAAGCAUUUGACUAUAGAUCAAGAGGUUCCUGGUUCAAAUCUCAGUUCUUCCU
RNAcentral lists this transfer RNA (72 nucleotides) under Ictidomys tridecemlineatus (thirteen-lined ground squirrel). RNAcentral's name for it is "Spermophilus tridecemlineatus (thirteen-lined ground squirrel) tRNA". It matches the Rfam family "tRNA". From Rfam's summary of the family: Transfer RNA (tRNA) molecules are approximately 80 nucleotides in length. Lineage: Eukaryota; Metazoa; Chordata; Mammalia; Rodentia; Sciuridae. The record is from Rfam by way of RNAcentral.